UACGUAGGGGGCGAGCGUUGUCCGGAAUUAUUGGGCGUAAAGAGCUCGUAGGCGGUUUGUCGCGUCGAAUGUGAAAACCCGGGGCUCAACCCCGGGCCUGCAUUCGAUACGGGCAGACUAGAGUUCGGUAGGGGAGUCUGGAAUUCCUGGUGUAGCGGUGAAAUGCGUAGAUAUCCGGAGGAACACCGGUGGCGAAGGCGGCUUCCUGGACCGACACUGACGCUGAGGCGCGAAAGCUAGGGGAGCAAACGGG
This 253-nucleotide ribosomal RNA is filed under the name uncultured bacterium. RNAcentral's name for it is "partial 16S ribosomal RNA". It matches the Rfam family "Bacterial small subunit ribosomal RNA", at positions 524 to 776 of the family's 1533-position model. The record is from RNAcentral.